CAAGUCGAACGCGGUUUCCUCGCAAGGGGAAACUGAGUGGCGAACGGGUGAGUAACACGUGGGUGACCUACCUUCGAGUGGGGGAUAACGUCCCGAAAGGGACGCUAAUACCGCAUGACAUCCCGCCUUUGAACAGGCGGUGAUCAAAGCCGGGGAUCGUAAGACCCGGCGCUUGAUGAGGGGCCCGCGUCCGAUUAGCUAGUUGGUGAGGUAAUGGCCCACCAAGGCAACGAUCGGUAUCCGGCCUGAGAGGGCGGACGGACACACUGGGACUGAGACACGGCCCAGACUCCUACGGGAGGCAGCAGUGGGGAAUUGUUCGCAAUGGGCGCAAGCCUGACGACGCAAUGCCGCGUGGAGGAUGAAGGUCUUCGGAUUGUAAACUCCUGUUGCCAGGGACGAAUGGCUUCGACCUAAUACGUCGAAGUAUGACGGUACCUGGUGAGGAAGCCCCGGCUAACUCUGUGCCAGCAGCCGCGGUAAUACAGAGGGGGCGAGCGUUGUUCGGAAUUACUGGGCGUAAAGGGCGCGUAGGCGGCCCGCUAAGUCGAACGUGAAAUCCCCAGGCUCAACCUGGGAACUGCGUCCGAUACUGGCAGGCUUGAAUCCGGGAGAGGGAUGUGGAAUUCCAGGUGUAGCGGUGAAAUGCGUAGAUAUCUGGAGGAACACCGGUGGCGAAGGCGGCAUCCUGGACCGGUAUUGACGCUGAGGCGCGAAAGCUAGGGGAGCAAACGGGAUUAGAUACCCCGGUAGUCCUAGCCCUAAACGAUGAUGCUUGGUGUGGCGGGUAUCGAUCCCUGCCGUGCCGAAGCCAACGCAUUUAAGCAUUCCGCCUGGGGAGUACGGUC
This 848-nucleotide ribosomal RNA is filed under the name uncultured Acidobacteriota bacterium. RNAcentral's name for it is "bacterial SSU rRNA". It matches the Rfam family "Bacterial small subunit ribosomal RNA", at positions 58 to 887 of the family's 1533-position model. Lineage: Bacteria; Pseudomonadati; Acidobacteriota. The record is from RNAcentral.